Molecule: long non-coding RNA, 5568 nt
Filed under: Homo sapiens (human)
Lineage: Eukaryota; Metazoa; Chordata; Mammalia; Primates; Hominidae
Description: non-protein coding TUG1:42
Rfam family: Taurine upregulated gene 1 conserved region 3 (bases 612-857)
Source: RNAcentral
GACGCAGCCGGGACGGUAGCUGCGGUGCGGACCGGAGGAGCCAUCUUGUCUCGUCGCCGGGGAGUCAGGCCCCUAAAUCGAAGAAGCCCUGGCGCGCCCUCCCCCCCUCCCGGGUCUGGUAGGGCGAAGGAACGGGCGUGCGGUCGAUCGAGCGAUCGGGCAGAGACAGAUAAUCUCACUUCCAGAGAAAUGACUUGGAGAAAAAAAAGUGUUGGUCUUUUUGCUCUUUUGUAAUUAAAUCCGGAUGUACCUCAAAAGACUUAAGACUGUGGUGAUAAGAUGCUUUCCUCAGCAGAAAGGAGGGAAAAAAAACAACUGGAACUCAAAGCUUGAAAUUCUGUGGCAAAACAUGAGAUGUCCAGGAUUGGAGGUUGAAAAGAUUUCACUACAGUGUUCUGCAAUAGUUGGAGCAGAUAACUUUCAGUGUAGCCACAGCCAUGGACUCCAGAUUUCCAGAUUUUCAAGACCUGGACCUGGAACCCGAAAGAGCUUGUCACGAUGCGGCAGGAACACUGGAGGUAGAUUUUUUUUUAUUUUUGAAUUUUGGGACUGUUGACCUUGCUGUGAGAAAAGAGACAACGACUGAGCAAGCACUACCACCAGCACUGUUACUGGGAAUUAGAAGACCUGAGUUUCUGUCCAGACCCUCAGUGCAAACUGAGGAUGCUCCAUCCAAAGUGAAUUAUGCCUACAGACCUGGUACCUGGAUUUUUGCCCGAGAUGAUUCCUACCACCUUACUACUGACGAAGACACCCAUUCCAGUGGACCACUGUGACCCAGGAGGCAUUCAGCCAUCAUGAUGUGGCCUUUACCUCCACUCCUGUCUUGUUCUACCCAGAUUCAGCACAGCCCUUUAUAGUGAAGUCAGAGUCCUCAAGCCAAAUAGCUAAAGCUGUUUUAUCACAACAAAGGCCUAGUUUGUUCCAUGAGUGUGCAUUUCAUUUCUUCAGUUAAAGCCUUCAGAGACACACAAUAAAUUUGGACCAGGGGAUUUUUUAGUUAUUAAUGCUCUCUGAAGAAAGGCAACAUCUUUUUGAGAGCAGCAUUGGACCACACCCCACAAUCUCAAAUGAUUGAAAUUCAUGAACAUCUAGGAUCCCGUGAAGGUCACUGGACCCUGUUUUUUCUACUUCAAAUCCUGUAGUAGCCUACUGAAUGAGAAAACAUAUUCUGACCCAUUGGGAUCAAAUCAAAGGCACAGUGAACUCCUCAUAGCAUCUUCUUUGGAAUUACUCAGGAACCAGAACUUUUUACACAAAUGUAAGAAAUUCUACCAAGGAGUCCCCUUACCUAACAGCAUCUCACAAGGCUGCACCAGAUUCCAGAAAAGGCUUCUCUUGAUACAUCAAGCAUUUUGUGACCGACUUAUUCUUAGAUCAUUGGUUUUCCAAAGGCUUUGUGGCCAUGAAGCCCUUUGAGUGAAAACUGUGCAGAAGCCCAGAGUAAAAGUGAAGCUGCUCUGGAUGAAGUAGUGAAGCAAGAGUAGGGGCCUGAAUCCUGCUACAACUAUCUUCCUUUACCACCGUGGUGACACCUAAGGGGACUUCCUUACAACACCUUGAACUCUUCCGAACACAGUUUGAAAACCACUGCCCCAGACAGCAAUAUGUUUGACCUGAAUGGCAUUCCAAUCUUUUCUGUACCUCCACUCAGCACAGUUCAUGUUCAGUAGAUGCUGAACAUUCUUAGAAAUACUGUGUGUGAACUUAGAAAAGUGCAAGAAGACAGGCAUGUCUUUGACCCCAGGAAUGAUCAUUUGCUGAAGAUGGUGUCAAGUGAACCUAGAUUAACAGCCCUCCACUCCAGAUGGAUAUCCAGUGAUUCCUAGAAUGGGAUAUAGCCAGAGAACAAUUCUAUGCACCCUACACUGACAGACUCCCUUAAGCAACACCAGAUGCUCUACUGGUACUUGAAGUACAUGACUUUGAAGUCUUGACCCUCCAUGAAUACCUGAAUUAUCAGCAAGCGGGUUUUGAAGCUGGUGCCUCAUUGAGGCCAUAUUAGAGCAACUUGUACAUUUGACCUCUUGUUAUCAGCCAUGGUACUCUACUUCGUGUGCAAGAGAUAACUAUGAAAGCCAAAUUCAAAUACUGGCAACAUUUCCUAAAGGGGCUCAAUAUCUAUCAUUCGUCUUCUUUUCCAAACUACACAUCACUGUAUGACUCAACCAGUAGCAGUUAUAUUGCCCCUUGGUUUUUAUUCAGUUUAACUACUGUUUCCAAGAUAAAUGAGCUAAUAAGCUUUAAAAAAAAAAAAAAAAAAGGCUGAAUUCUUUUUUCUUCAUCACUGGCAUAUCUGCCUAUUCUCCAGAAUUAUUAUGACUAUUCAGCUCACUUUAACAGUUGAACUUCAAGCGACAAUCUUUGAACACCCCUUCUCAUGUGAUUUAAAAUGAAACCAUUUGGAAAAGUUUCUUCUAGCCAGUAAUAGAUUUUUUUUUUAAUUGCUCUGCCUUGUGCCGAGAGAUGUUCUUUUAAGAUGAAUCUUUUGAUGUCUGAUACCACCAAAUAUAGGUGGUAGGGAGAGUUGGAGGCUGGCCCUUUGAGCAGGCCAUUAGCUUACUUGCUGGGCAUUUCCGAUAGCUUAUUGCCUACCUUUUUGCUGGAAACAAACUGAUUUGAAAAACAAAAUCUAUGAAGACUGCAGCUAAGGAUUUUAUCGGUAGACUUAAGAGCUUUUGUCCUUGUGGAUAUUUUAGUGGAACCACAUCAGUCUCAAUACUGUCAUUUUACACUGACUCAGAGCAGCUGACUUCAUUCCUUGCCAUGAUAUAUAUUUAAGGCAGGCAUUGUAACAGACAUAAAGACAACUUAUCUGUUUCAGCAGGAAGGAUUCAGUUUAUGAACUCUCAGACCAGAUCAUGUUGAACAAGGAGACUUUGAUGUGUGUCAUGAGAAAACUCAUUCUUUACUUCCCAGUCAAUUUAAAGGCCAGCUAUCCUGAGCUACUCGAAUGAAUGCACUGGUUAAACAUUGGAAAUAGUUUGUUUAUAUCCUUGUCUCUCUCUAGGCCAAUUGUGAUUACAUGACUCGACUCUACAUCUCGUCAAACAAGGCCUAGGUCUGGUUGCUGUAGACUGCUCGCCCUCAACAAAUAAAAUCUGGUUGACUAGCCUCCUUGUAUAUACAACUAUUAUUUGUUAAGAAGAAAUUAUCGUCAAUUUUCUACUACCUUCCAAUUGUCAGCUCUUUUUUUCCUCUCUGGUUUUUCCUAUACUUUACAGAAAAAGACAUUGAUCUAUACUGCCAUUCCCUCUAAUCCUGCCAUACUCAGUCAAAAGGAAUGACUUAAGAUGAAGAUGAUCAUCUGCUCGAGUCUAAAAUAUACAUUGUAUAUAAGAAUUGGUGAUUAGAAAAGCAAAAAACCUAAAACUUAAAUCUAGGAGUCUGUAUACUGUCUCCAUGUCUCCAUGCCUCAGAUCUCAUCUAAAUCUUUGAACAGCACCAUUCAACCAAUCUGAGGCCUUGACUUGCUUGUAAGAUGAUUCUCAGAGAUCGGCUGAGUUAAAAAAGAUGACGACUUGAUUACCAAAGAAAGUAGGGCCAACUUUGACAAAUCUGGCUCUGCUGACCCUGUCACUCCCAGAUGUAGCAUAGACUCCUAAACAGAACCUCAAGUCUGAUUGAGGAUAAGGCCUUCUCCUGAGCUGAAAGUUCUUUGGCAGAUGAGCAAGAAACUGAAAGCUGAUGUACCUGACUGGCUCUGUAAGAUCAGAAAACUGUAUCCAGAAUAAGCCCUAUGGAUUAACCCCUGAGUACCCAGAGUAAAAACUAAUUUACAGAACUUCCUUAUUGAUCUGCUGGUUCUUCCAGAUCAUAUUCUGGCUAUUGGUAUGGCUGGCCUUUCUGAAGGUACCCUGCUUGUCUAUUUUCCUGACUCAGCUCUUGCCUGCCUUUUUCACAUGUUGCUGCAAUUAGACUCACCGUGAGGACUACAGUCAAUUUCAGUCUAUCUUGUGCCCAAUACAACAAGGAUUUUUAAUAGUAACAACCCACACCUCACCCACUAGGACUCAAUGUUCACAACAGGAAGGACCAUUGCUGCAUACUCCUUGACCAGCAACUUUUUUGAAGAUAUUUUUAAGUGCAGAGUAGGCCUCUAUUCCUGUAUGUAAUUGUUCAUUUUCAGCACCUGGAACCUCAUCUAUCGGGUCUGGAAGGAAUACAGCAGUUCGAAAGCCGCGUCCAUUUCUCUCCUUCAGUAGUGCAGAAAUGAGUCCGAUUCACCAGUACACACAGAACUGUACCAGUUCAACCUAGCAAAAGAAGAAAAGUUUCCACUGUACUUAAAAUUUACAGCUGACUCAAAUUGCCUCACAGAAUUAUUUGAUGUAGAAGGCUAGUUGUCUUACUUCAGAUCAGCAGGACAGUUGGGCUCUCAGACUCAUGACCACUGAGUUUGCUUGUGUUGAAACUGUGGUUUCAUCCAACAUAUGCUAUUGGACAUGAUUAUUAUUCCAUUCAAAUGGAUUACAGACUUCUUGAGGACAGGACAAACUUAUCUCUCAUGGUGUUUUUUUAGAAUACUUUUAUAACCAAGGAAGAAACCAUGCCAGCUGUUACCAUUCAACUUCUUAAGCAGAGAUUAAGCUUUUUCAUAUCUGUUCUUAUCCUGGACAUCAGUAGUUUUUAAUUGCCCAGCAUCCGUUCCAUCUUGUAACAACUCCCUGAUGUUUCUUAAAACCACCUCUUCCUAUUUUCAGUCUGUGGUUUGGACAGUCUGACCCAACCUUGAGCUUUGUGGGUGAACAUGUAAUUCAGACCUCAUCAAUCAGCAAAUCCAUCUGAACUGUGGAGGAGAAGCUCUCUUUACUGAGGGUGCUUUAGCUUUGUAGGAUGAAAACCUCAAACUAACAGGGCCUACCAUGUAGAGAAUGAAGCCAGUGCAGGGGAAAGCAGAGCCAAAAUAUGGAGAGACUUGAAUCCUGAUGACAGCGUUUGUGCCCCUGGAUCCAACCGUGCCUGAAGCUAGAAUAUCCCCUGGACUUUUCAGUUAUGUGAACCAAUAAAUACCCUUUUUUGCUUAAGUUACUUUGAGUUGGGUUUCUGUUACUUGAAAUUGAAUCCACACUAAUAUAUCUACCAACAUUGAGACUUGACAGAUCCAAGUAUUUAUUAAGCUAGAGGUCAUGGUCACUGAAAUUACUUUCCAAAGUGGAAGACAAAAUGAAACAGGAACUGAGGGAAUAUUUAAGAUCCCACAGAAGCGUAAAAAUGACAUGGUAGAAAGUAAUAGAAAACCUAAAUGUCUGUCAUUAAAGGAUAGGUUAAGGUGUGGUUCAGCCAUAUAGGAAUAUCUCGUAUCUGUUAAAAUGAAUAAAGUACAUUCAUUGUGUAUGGAAAAAUGGCCAUGAUACAUUAGGUGAAACAAGUUAUUAAUAGAAAAGUGUACAGUGUGAACUCAUUUUAAAAUGUGUGUGCUUAUGUUUAUAAAUGCAUAGAAAGGUCUAUUCACAGCUUUCUUUGAACAGUGUAGAUCACAUGAAACUUUCAACUUUAUACAUUUCUGUAUUAAUAUUUUACACUACCCACAUUAUUUUUAAACUUUAUUUUAAAUAAAGAAUUUUU